AUGUACAGCACUGGGCAAAGGCAGGAGGGGAAGUUGCUGCCAGCCCAAAGGCUGCCAUCUUGGUUAACAGAACGUCUGGGGGGCAGUUGGGCUGUGCUGCACCCUGAUUGCACUAGAGUGCAAAGGGCUGGAUAUCCUCUUCUGUCUUCCUCCUGGUCUUCCGAGGAGGUGGUGAUGAUCAUCUCCCACCUGCACCUCCUCCCCGUCCCAGCUAAUGCAUGGUACGACUUUGGCUUCAUGCUUGGCACCCAGACACCUUUCACAUGCAGGAUUGCCAACAGUGGGACCAAGAGGACUUUCUCUUGGACUUCUUCCACUCUGGGGAGCUGAACACGAGGCAGAAUGAAUUGCUGUCGUGAACGUCUGAAAGGAGAUAAAGCAGCAGCAAACUCUUCUCCCCUGUUGCAGAUAAACCACUAUUAACAGCCGAGGCUUUCUGGAAUGAAAAGGGUGACUCUCCAUUGAAAGCAGCGAUAAAUCCUGGCCAUCCUGCAUAAUCCAGUCCACCGUAUCGGGAAAUCUCAUGGGAGCUGGCAGCACUGAGAGCAGCAAGGUCUUUUCAUGCUACAGUUCUCCCGUGGAUGGAUAAUCUCCAUGGCCAACAACUGCAAAUGCUGGAGGUUGGAUCCUGAGUGCUAUUACCUCGGCUUUUACUCCCCUUCCUCCUCAGCAAAACCACUGCUGCCUUCUGCAGGAAGACAGGGUGUACCUGCAAACUUUGCCUGCAAAGGGGAUCACAGGGCUGCAUUCUGUAUCUGCGUGAGCAAGAAUAUCAUACAUCAUCUUCCUGCUGAUCUGGCAGUGCAAGCAGCCCUGCAAAGCAGCGAUUUAAUGCACUUCUCAGUGCUUGAGCUUUUCGUCUUGCUAUGCUUAACCUGAUAUAUUGUUAUUUGAUGCAGAACAGUAGGGGCAGGUACAAAGAGGUAGCAUGAAAAUAAAAGGUCAGCGGGUGCCAGGUGCAUGUAAAGGCUAAAUUGGUCUUUCAUCAAAUCUAAUAAAUAUGCCUUGUGAGUGGGGUGGGAAAUUCCUUUCCUGAAAUGCUGAACGGUGUCCCUUCCUCCAGAGCCUCAGCCCAGGGCUGUUGGAUGAAUCCAGGAUGGGGCUGCUCAGUGCAAGGGGACUGCAGUGACAGCCAAGGGAAGAGCCAGGCUCAGCCCCCACUGCGCAUGAGGCUGCAUUUUCCAAUGUUCCUAAAAAUAUUCCUGAGCCUCUAAGUGCAAAACUGGUGGUUUGGAUUUGGAAACCAAAAUGGAAACAGAUGAGCUGCAUCUCAUCUUGUUUUCUCACCUCCUCUCUUUUCUCUCUUCACUGGUUCCAGACUGGGGAGAGAAUGGCAAAGGAAUGACCAAAAAUGAAGAAAAACAAAACAAGGAAUCAUUUUUUCCCUUUUUUUCUUCCCCCCUCCCCCCCGUUUGAGAGGCUAUAAUGUUUUUAUAAGCAUAGAAAUCUGGGUGUGCUUCAUUUCUUUUCCUUAAAGGAUUAGGAAAUGGGAUACUUUGGCCCCUGAUUCUCCUCUGCCUCUCAUGGAGAAGUGAAAUCCAUCCAGGCUGCGUCCAGAAGCAUUUCAUGUUAUAACCUUUGCAGGCCUGGAGAAGCAGAGGCAGCAGGCAGAUCUUCCAGGUGCCUCCACUUCUGGGAUGUCCAUCCCUGGUCAGCUUAGGCUUGGUUUGCAGAGAGGCUUUGCGGCACA
Molecule: long non-coding RNA, 1690 nt
Filed under: Meleagris gallopavo (turkey)
Lineage: Eukaryota; Metazoa; Chordata; Aves; Galliformes; Phasianidae
Description: lncRNA (ENSMGAG00000022017.1)
Source: RNAcentral